Molecule: long non-coding RNA, 392 nt
Organism: Octopus sinensis (East Asian common octopus)
Lineage: Eukaryota; Metazoa; Mollusca; Cephalopoda; Octopoda; Octopodidae
Exons: 3
Source: RefSeq, a predicted model, not a curated record
UAACAGAAAAAAGUCUUAGAGAAAAAUUUGACAUACUUCUAGAAAGACAGUAUUACGAUACAGCUGUUCGGUUAAAAUUUACUUUAUUUUCUUCCAGACUCGCAAAAAAUUCUGAUUUACCUCAACAUGAAUUAGUCAAGAUCGUUCAAAAAUGUGGAGAUUAUCUCUAUGACAAAGGAAAUAUGAAAGAUGCUAUUAAUCGUUAUAUAUCCACUAUUGGAACUGUAGAACCAUCGUAUGUGAUUAGAAAGUACUUGGAUGCCAAUAAUGUUGAGAAUUUGUCGGAAUAUCUGUUGGAACUUCACAAGAGAAAGGUUGCUACAUCCGAUCACACUACUCUACUUUUUAAUUGUCAUGCUCGACUAAAAAAUCUUAGUACAAUUCAAGAAUUC